This 311-nucleotide long non-coding RNA is filed under the name Gossypium raimondii (Peruvian cotton). RNAcentral describes it as "long non-coding RNA (GRAI_LNC008589)". The record is from RNAcentral. Lineage: Eukaryota; Viridiplantae; Streptophyta; Magnoliopsida; Malvales; Malvaceae.
GCGGCAGUGGUGAAGUGGUGGUUUUGUGGUGGAGAAUGAUAUCAAGUGGUGGUGAAAAGAAUAGAAAUUGGUGGUGAAAAGGAGGAGGCUUAGAGGCUAAACUAAAACAAAAAGCGAGGAAAGGAAGACCAAGGAGGAGGAACGGGCAAAGGGGGAGGAAGAGAAAACAAAAUGAAAGAAAAAUGUGAAUGGUGGCUACCUUAGGUGGGAUGCAUGGCUCAAGCUUCGUAAAUGGGAUAAAGUGGAAGCUUUGGGGACAAUGGCAUGAAAUGUGGAUCAUGGGGAACAUAUGGAGUGAAAGGGAGUUUAUG